CCUAAAUCCCUGCCAGGUCGAGCGACUGAUUAGAAGCUUGCUUCUAUGACGUUAGCGGCGGACGGGUGAGUAACACGUGGGCAACCUGCCUGUAAGACUGGGAUAACUCCGGGAAACCGGAGCUAAUACCGGAUAACAUUUUUUCUUGCAUAAGAGAAAAUUGAAAGAUGGUUUCGGCUAUCACUUACAGAUGGGCCCGCGGUGCAUUAGCUAGUUGGUGAGGUAACGGCUCACCAAGGCAACGAUGCAUAGCCGACCUGAGAGGGUGAUCGGCCACACUGGGACUGAGACACGGCCCAGACUCCUACGGGAGGCAGCAGUAGGGAAUCUUCCGCAAUGGACGAAAGUCUGACGGAGCAACGCCGCGUGAGUGAUGAAGGCUUUCGGGUCGUAAAACUCUGUUGUUAGGGAAGAACAAGUACAAGAGUAACUGCUUGUACCUUGACGGUACCUAACCAGAAAGCCACGGCUAACUACGUGCCAGCAGCCGCGGUAAUACGUAGGUGGCAAGCGUUAUCCGGAAUUAUUGGGCGUAAAGCGCGCGCAGGCGGUUUCUUAAGUCUGAUGUGAAAGCCCACGGCUCAACCGUGGAGGGUCAUUGGAAACUGGGGAACUUGAGUGCAGAAGAGAAAAGCGGAAUUCCACGUGUAGCGGUGAAAUGCGUAGAGAUGUGGAGGAACACCAGUGGCGAAGGCGGGCUUUUUGGUCUGUAACUGACGCUGAGGCGCGAAAGCGUGGGGAGCAAACCAGGAUUAGGAUACCCUGGGGAGCCCACGCCGUAAACGGAUGGAAUGCUAAGGGGUUA
RNAcentral lists this ribosomal RNA (805 nucleotides) under Priestia flexa. RNAcentral describes it as "bacterial SSU rRNA". It matches the Rfam family "Bacterial small subunit ribosomal RNA", at positions 47 to 826 of the family's 1533-position model. Lineage: Bacteria; Bacillati; Bacillota; Bacilli; Caryophanales; Bacillaceae. The record is from RNAcentral.